RNAcentral lists this small RNA (74 nucleotides) under Belnapia rosea. RNAcentral's name for it is "Belnapia sp. CPCC 100156 Makes More Granules Regulator RNA (mmgR)". It matches the Rfam family "Makes More Granules Regulator RNA (mmgR)". Rfam says of the family: SuhB later renamed mmgR (makes more granules regulator) was a putative non-coding RNA found multiple times in the Agrobacterium tumefaciens genome and related alpha-proteobacteria. Lineage: Bacteria; Pseudomonadati; Pseudomonadota; Alphaproteobacteria; Acetobacterales; Roseomonadaceae. The record is from Rfam by way of RNAcentral.
GUGUCCUGCCUUUCUUGGACGUUUCCUCCCUAAACUCGGCGGCGCCUUCGGGUGCCGCCCUUUUUUUGGGCCAU